Molecule: ribosomal RNA, 497 nt
Filed under: uncultured bacterium
Lineage: Bacteria
Description: partial 16S ribosomal RNA
Rfam family: Bacterial small subunit ribosomal RNA
Source: RNAcentral
GAUGAACGCUGGCGGCGUGCCUAAUACAUGCAAGUCGAGCGAACAGACGAGGAGCUUGCUCCUCUGACGUUAGCGGCGGACGGGUGAGUAACACGUGGAUAACCUACCUAUAAGACUGGGAUAACUUCGGGCAACCGGAGCUAAUACCGGAUAAUAUAUUGAACCGCAUGGUUCAAUAGUGAAAGACGGUUUUGCUGUCACUUAUAGAUGGAUCCGCGCCGCAUUAGCUAGUUGGUAAGGUAACGGCUUACCAAGGCGACGAUGCGUAGCCGACCUGAGAGGGUGAUCGGCCACACUGGAACUGAGACACGGUCCAGACUCCUACGGGAGGCAGCAGUAGGGAAUCUUCCGCAAAGGGCGAAAGCCUGACGGAGCAACGCCGCGUGAGUGAUGAAGGUCUUCGGAUCGUAAAACUCUGUUAUUAGGGAAGAACAAAUGUGUAAGUAACUAUGCACGUCUUGACGGUACCUAAUCAGAAAGCCACGGCUAACUACGUG